UGCCCAGCAACUCCUAUCUCUACCUCCACGCGGUACCGGCCGGAAACUAUGAGCAACCUUAGGGAAGA
This is a non-coding RNA of Aedes albopictus (Asian tiger mosquito), 68 nucleotides long. The record is from Rfam. Lineage: Eukaryota; Metazoa; Arthropoda; Insecta; Diptera; Culicidae.